RNAcentral lists this ribosomal RNA (480 nucleotides) under uncultured bacterium. RNAcentral's name for it is "bacterial SSU rRNA". It matches the Rfam family "Bacterial small subunit ribosomal RNA", at positions 32 to 507 of the family's 1533-position model. The record is from RNAcentral.
AACGCUGGCGGCAUGCCUUACACAUGCAAGUCGAACGGCAGCACGGGAGCAAUCCUGGUGGCGAGUGGCGAACGGGUGAGUAAUAUAUCGGAACGUGCCCAGUCGUGGGGGAUAACGUAGCGAAAGCUACGCUAAUACCGCAUACGAUCUAUGGAUGAAAGCGGGGGAUCGCAAGACCUCGCGCGAUUGGAGCGGCCGAUAUCAGAUUAGGUAGUUGGUGAGGUAAAGGCUCACCAAGCCGACGAUCCUUAGCUGGUCUGAGAGGAUGAUCAGCCACACUGGGACUGAGACACGGCCCAGACUCCUACGGGAGGCAGCAGUGGGGAAUAUUGGACAAUGGGCGCAAGCCUGAUCCAGCAAUGCCGCGUGAGUGAAGAAGGCCUUCGGGUUGUAAAGCUCUUUUGUCAGGGAAGAAACGGUGGACUCUAAUACAGAUCGCUAAUGACGGUACCUGAAGAAUAAGCACCGGCUAACUACGUG